UGGGAUCGUGGUCUAGCUUGGUAUGAUUCUGCGUUUGGGACGCAGAGGUCGUGUGUUCAAAUCACGCCGAUCCCACCAU
Molecule: transfer RNA, 79 nt
Filed under: Candidatus Nitrosarchaeum limnium BG20
Lineage: Archaea; Thermoproteati; Nitrososphaerota; Nitrososphaeria; Nitrosopumilales; Nitrosopumilaceae
Description: Candidatus Nitrosoarchaeum limnia BG20 tRNA-Pro
Rfam family: tRNA
About the family: Transfer RNA (tRNA) molecules are approximately 80 nucleotides in length. Their secondary structure includes four short double-helical elements and three loops (D, anti-codon, and T loops).
Source: RNAcentral